GAAAUGACUCUCGGCAACGGAUAUCUCGGCUCUCGCAUCGAUGAAGAACGUAGCGAAAUGCGAUACUUGGUGUGAAUUGCAGAAUCCCGUGAACCAUCGAGUCUUUGAACGCAAGUUGCGCCCGAGGCCUUUAGGCCGAGGGCACGUCUGCCUGGGUGUCACGC
Molecule: ribosomal RNA, 164 nt
Filed under: Adansonia madagascariensis
Lineage: Eukaryota; Viridiplantae; Streptophyta; Magnoliopsida; Malvales; Malvaceae
Description: 5.8S ribosomal RNA
Rfam family: 5.8S ribosomal RNA
About the family: 5.8S ribosomal RNA (5.8S rRNA) is a component of the large subunit of the eukaryotic ribosome. It is transcribed by RNA polymerase I as part of the 45S precursor that also contains 18S and 28S rRNA.
Source: RNAcentral